Molecule: ribosomal RNA, 423 nt
Filed under: uncultured bacterium
Lineage: Bacteria
Description: bacterial SSU rRNA
Rfam family: Bacterial small subunit ribosomal RNA
Source: RNAcentral
GGGCCCGCACAAGCGGUGGAGCAUGUGGUUUAAUUCGAUGCAACGCGAAGAACCUUACCAGGACUUGACAUACUACGAAUUCUUCUGAGAAGAAGAAGUGCCUUCGGGAAUGUAGAUACAGGUGGUGCAUGGCUGUCGUCAGCUCGUGUCGUGAGAUGUUGGGUUAAGUCCCGCAACGAGCGCAACCCUUAUUUUUAGUUACUAAUUCGUUAGGUUCUCUAGAAAGACUGCCGGUGACAAACCGGAGGAAGGUGAGGAUGACGUCAAGUCAGCAUGCCCCUUAUGUCCUGGGCUACACACGUGCUACAAUGGUUAAGACAAAGAGUCGCGAGCUCGCGAGAGUCAGCUAAUCUCAUAAACUUAGCCUAAGUUCAGAUUGUUCUCUGCAACUCGAGAGCAUGAAGUCGGAAUCGCUAGUAAUCG